Molecule: RNA transcript, 2523 nt
Organism: Triplophysa dalaica
Lineage: Eukaryota; Metazoa; Chordata; Actinopteri; Cypriniformes; Nemacheilidae
Gene: pcgf5b
Gene name: polycomb group ring finger 5b
Exons: 9
Source: RefSeq, a predicted model, not a curated record
CUCCGCCCCCUUGAACCAGUUCCGUGUUCCGUGCCGCUACUACAACCAUUACGUUUAUCAGCCCAAAUUCGUGAAGCCCCGCGUUUGUAUUGAAAAAAUCAAUGCGCAUCUUCAACAUGGACCCGUGAUAUGAAGAAGGCUUGUUCCCAUGAUGUCAUGACAGAAGAGGAUGCCAGGGGCCCUUCAGCCAAACAUGAGCAGUUAAGCCAUUGAAUCUUCACUUUAUUCUGGCAUCAUCUGUUUUUCCUUGGAAACUCGUGACAAUGACAUCACAGAGAAAACACCUUGUGAAGGAUUUCAACCAUUUCAUCACCUGUUAUGUCUGUAAAGGAUACCUGAUUAAGCCCACCACCGUGACAGAGUGCCUGCACACCUUUUGUAAAAGCUGUAUAGUCCAGCAUUUUGAAGACUGCAAUGACUGUCCAAAAUGUGCUAUCCAGGUUCAUGAAACAAAUCCCCUGGAGAUGUUAAGGUUGGACAACACUUUAGAAGAAAUCAUAUUCAAACUUGUGCCUGGUCUUAGAGAAAAGGAACAGCAGCAAGAAAAAGAAUUCUGGAGAAGAAACAAGUCAAAAGAAAACCUUGAAGAGGGCAGCCCUUUAUGUAAGAAAGCAAGACUAGAUGAAGAAGAGGAUGAAAAAGGUGAUGGAGACCACCACAGAAGUGAUCCUCAGAUAGCCAUCUGUCUCGACAGCUUGCGGAACAAUGGCCAGAUCGGAGAGAGCAUUGUUAAGGGGUUAAUGAAGAAAUUUAUUCGCUGCUCAACAAGAGUUACUGUUGGAACGAUCAAGAAGUUUCUAAGUCUAAAGUUAAAGCUUCCAAGUUCUUACGAGUCUCUUUCUGCAGCUAGACGUUCUAUGCAAUGGUGAGAUCAUGGGCAAGGACCACACCAUGGAGUUCAUCUACAUGACCCGUUGGAGGCUUCGGGGGGAAAACAUUUACCCAAUGGUGCUUGAAUAUCGACCACGCAUUGACUUUGGCUAGGUUGAAAAAUCCUGCAACAAUUUCAUCCCAUUGACAGACAGCGAAUCGAAUGGAUGUGUCCAGUUUGGAACAUUUACUUUUCUUUGUAAAGUUUGUACAGUUUGUCAUCUUUUUUUAAAACUUUUAUCCUAACUCUCAGCCGCAGAGACAGAUACUAUAAAUGUCUUAUGGCUCAUUGCAUAUGUAAGAAAAGUAACUUAUGUCUUUAUCAUGUUGUGUUUGACUUACCAGAGUGACAUGACAGUCAUGUUUAAGGGCCGUUACAGGAUAUGAUGGUUUCUCAGUUUUGCAAUGCUACAAGCUAUAAAACAUUAACUAAAUGCGGCAGUGCCUUUAAAACUGAUGUUUUUUAAUACAUAUAAAAAAGAUGUGCAAAGGUGCAGAGGGCAAAUCUUUACAGCUUCUCUUUGACAGGAUAAGAAUUUUAGGAUAGAAUAGGAAUGUUUUAGUCAUGCUGAGAUCUCAACAAUACUAUAAAAGCAUUAAGUGGUUCAACAUGGGUUCUGGGCUGGGUUUAAAAUUCAGCCUGUUUUUGCCCUUAGGGUUUAUUUAAGGCCAUAUCUCUGUGCUUACACAAAUGCCUUUUUUAUUUAAUUGAUUUUGGUGACUUUUCUCCGUUUGUGCCUCUUUUUAAGAAAUUAAAGUACAUAGGUGAACUCAGUUUAGCUCAUUAAUUAGAAUGUCAUUUUUCUCUUUUUCAUAUAAUAGUAUAAUGUUGAAAUUAAAUUAAGGUUUUAAUGAGUCUUGUGUGCCUGCAGCCUGUUAAAAUUAACCCUAAAUCGUGUGGUUUUAAGAAAACCAUAUAAUUGAGUGUCAAAUUAAAUGAAAUUAAAUAUUUAAUUAAAUGGAAAAAAAAUAGAAAUAUGGGAUUUGGUUGUAUACAUACAAGUGGAUUCUUAUUAGUGGCAUAUUACACCAAAGACAACCCAUCACACCAGGACAUAUGCUAAAAAUGGUUUGCCCAGCUUUACAGCUACAAUAAUCACAAAUCAGAGGCCAUUUGGUGAAAAUAAAGCUUGACUUUUUGUACAAAGAACAAAACUACCUAAUCUCUCAAACAGUGUGCAAACAAUAAUAAUCAGGGGCAUAUUUGUUAUUUUUUUGUGCAAAUGUUCCAGAAUUAUUUUACAGACUUUUCUGUAAAUUUAGAAUUUUAAAACAAUUUGACAGAAGCCUAUACAUUUAUUCUUAAGCAACCGUUAUGUUAUGCUUUUUAUUUUAAAUAUAUAUUUUGCCGAAAGCUAAUCUCGUUAGAGAUUAAAAUGUUGUUUUGUUGUGUAAUAAAACAUGUUUAGAAUAGACCUUGGAAUGUGUUUGUGCUGCAAUGAUCAACAUGUAUUUUUGUAAGAUGUCCUUGUAGAUAAAGGAAAUGUAUGUUGAAUGUGUAAUAAACAUUAAAUGCUGCUUAGAACAUUCUAUUUUUCAAUGUAAGGUGCUGAGGUAAUUUAUGUAGAUUAGAUUUGUUUAUAUAACACCUGCCAGUUACUGUAUUUGUGUGUUUUUGUUCAGAAGAAAAAUACAUUUAAUAUUGGUAAAUAA